This 446-nucleotide ribosomal RNA is filed under the name uncultured bacterium. Its description in RNAcentral is "bacterial SSU rRNA". It matches the Rfam family "Bacterial small subunit ribosomal RNA", at positions 217 to 662 of the family's 1533-position model. The record is from RNAcentral.
GGUAUGGGAUGAGCUUGCGUCCGAUUAGCUAGUUGGCGGGGCAACGGCUCACCAAGGCGACGAUCGGUAGCCGGCCUGAGAGGGUGAUCGGCCACAUUGGGACUGAGAUACGGCCCAGACUCCUACGGGAGGCAGCAGUAGGGAAUAUUGCACAAUGGGGGGAACCCUGAUGCAGCAACGCCACGUGUGGGAAGAAGCAUUUCGGUGUGUAAACCACUGUCGUGAGGGAAUAAGGCCUGUUCUAGGACAGGAUUGAAUGUACCUCGAAAGGAAGCACCGGCAAACUUCGUGCCAGCAGCCGCGGUAAUACGAGGGGUGCAAGCGUUGUUCGGAAUCACUGGGCGUAAAGGGAGCGUAGGCGGAGAUUCAAGCGGAUUGUACAAUCCCGGGGCCCAACCCCGGACCUGCAGUCCGAACUGGAUCUCUUGGAUAGUUCAGGGGCAGGC